UACGGGAGGCAGCAGUGGGGAAUCUUNCGCAAGGCGGCCAAGCGUGAUGCAGCCCUGCCGCGUGUGUGAAGAAGGCCUUCGGGUUGUAAAGCUCUUUCAUCGGGGAGGAAGGAGUUAUGGUUAAUAACCUUGGCGAUUGAUAUUUCCCGGCCAAGAAGCACCGGCUUACUCCGUGCCAGCAGCCGCGGUAAUA
RNAcentral lists this ribosomal RNA (193 nucleotides) under uncultured Gammaproteobacteria bacterium. Its description in RNAcentral is "partial 16S ribosomal RNA". It matches the Rfam family "Bacterial small subunit ribosomal RNA", at positions 340 to 525 of the family's 1533-position model. The record is from RNAcentral. Lineage: Bacteria; Pseudomonadati; Pseudomonadota; Gammaproteobacteria.